UCUUGUGAUAUAAUCAUACAUUAUGACACCUUGCAUUAGUUCUGUGUUCUAUCUGUUUGAAGAUAAUUGCUGUCAAGGGGGAAUGAAUUCACUGGAGUAGGAAACACAGUACAAGUUUCUAGAAUGUCCUCAGGAUGAACACUCAAGAAUAUAAUAAGGAGUCCAAUAUGUGUCAGCCCAAGCCAGCUACUUCCCUCACACCCCUUCAAUGAUGCUUCUAUUAUCAAAUUCCCCUACAUCCAUUCUGACACUGGUGGCACCAAGUGGACUCAGUUGUUAAAAGAAGAAAAAAAAGCAUACAUGAAGUUAGAGAAGUACGGAGAAAGGAGUUCAAAGGAACAAACUGGGAGGUGGAUUUGAUCAAAGCACAUUCUAUAGACUGUAAAAGCAAAUCAUGAAUCCAGACAUUGUGGCACAUGUCAAUAAUCCGAACAGCGGAGAGGUUUGACAAGAUGAUCAAGACCUCAAGGCUAUCCUCAGCUAUGUUACACUCUAGGAUUUCAUUGGUGCUAGAACGUCGUCUUUCCACGACAGAGAUGACACAGCCACACAAUCUAAGUAAGAUGCCAGUCUAAAGAAGACCUAAGCACCAAUAAAACCAGUGGACAAGUUGGCAUGGAGCGUAGAAGGCUCAGAAGAUCUCAUUUCUAUAUAAAGAGCUUCUGACAAUGAAUGACUAGUCUAAGAGAGGAGUAUUGGUCUUCUCCAGUCUUCAAGGAAAGGAACCCCUGAGAGAUUAUCUGAUCUAAAGGGUCAUUCCUAAUAAGGUCUACAUAUGAGCAAUAAUAAAUGAACUCAUCUGGUAAGAGUA
This is a long non-coding RNA of Mastomys coucha (southern multimammate mouse), 811 nucleotides long. RefSeq lists it as uncharacterized. The transcript has 5 exons. NCBI's taxonomy places the organism in Eukaryota, Metazoa, Chordata, Mammalia, Rodentia, Muridae. The record is from RefSeq and is a predicted model, not a curated record.